AGAAGAAAAGGGGAAGAGGAGGAAGAUCUGGAAAACUAUUUCAAAACUGAAAGAAAAGAAGAAAGAAUAAUUAGACACUCGGAACUACACAGAGAAGAACCUUAAGGUCCCCUUGGCAGCUGGUUUCUGGGAAUUUGACCAGUGGAAAGCUCUGGGAGAAGAUCGGAAGGGGAGAGACAGGGAGAGUGGAGGGUCUUUCUGCUCUUCUCUCUCUGCUUCUGGAGGCAUCUGGACAGCCCUUCCCCUCAAGCCAUUCUACCUACCUCCUAAUGACUCCAUCUGCUCACCGGUGGUUUCUCUCAUUAUGAAGAAGGGCCCAAUCAAUGAUCUAACCAACUCCACUGGCUCCACUUGCCUUUUUAGCUUGUCUCUCUUCUGAGCCACUUUCUUCCACUUUGGAUUCCAGGAACGAAAGGCCUGGUUGACAAGCAUUUUUAGGAUGAGGUACAGAAGAAACUACUUGAGCCUCUUCUUGCAGAACAGAUCACCCUGUCGACUUUGCCUAAAAGGAAGCAAUUACCCAAUGAAGGAACUCAGGCUGUGCCCCUAAGCAGGAACAAUCAUCUCCUGCUGGGAAUCAAAUCAUCCCCUCAAGCAAUGAUAACCCUCCCAGAGCUGCACAGAACUGGCCCAGGAGACAAUGAUCAACCAGACCGCGGUCUGACCAGGAUUACUCACUCUAUCAGGUAUACAAAUCCCCCAGUCAUGCAAGCUCCCAACCCUUGACUUUGUCCUCCUUUUCUAUGAAACCUCAAAGUUCCAGGGGGAAGGAAAAGGGCAAGGAAAGUGGGGGAACCCUCAAAGUUCCUGUCAGCCCGUUGGAGACAAAUCUUUGGUCACUGUGCCCUUAUAUUUCUUCCUGGUGUGGCCACGCUGAUGAAAAACUCCUCCCGUCCUUCACCACUGCUGACUGUUUGAUUGGCAUAUUGGGAUACAAAGCAGAAUCUGGCCUGUUGGACUAUUGGAGAAGGGGCCUUCGCCAAGGACUCUGGGAACACUUUGAGUGUUUGGGAGGCAAGGAUUGUGUCUUAUGUGCUUUGUCUUUCAAACUCCUAUGUGAAAGCCCAUGAAAGAGAAAAUAAAAGAAAUAAUGACAGGCCACAAUGGA
This is a long non-coding RNA of Marmota flaviventris (yellow-bellied marmot), 1108 nucleotides long. RefSeq lists it as uncharacterized. Lineage: Eukaryota; Metazoa; Chordata; Mammalia; Rodentia; Sciuridae. The record is from RefSeq and is a predicted model, not a curated record.